CCAGUUCCACCUUGCCGAAACUUGGGCCUAACUUUAACAGGCCCUUUUCUAACCUCCAUAACCCAAAGAGCUUCGGGACUCAGAUCUUACAGAUUAUUCCUCUGCUCUCCCCUUGACCCCCACGUCAACCCAAACUAAUAAUCUUGCCUUUUGCUCACCCUCAAACCCAGCCCCCAGCGCGCCUUCUCGACCAGUUAAGGUGCACAGCUAGCUAAACGGGUAUGGUCUGUACUUUUCAUGAAAUGUAAGCGGCUGGAUCCCUGGCAACUUUUAAUGUACGGCCUUUAAGAUGUCUUUUUCUUGAGGUUGAACUACUGUUGCUUGUACUGGAGAACUGUACAGAGCUGAGAAUUAGCUGGGUUUUUUUGGGUUGUUUUAACUUUAUUUAAGGGAGGGGGAGGUGGGACGGGAUUACCCUCGGGAAAGGAAAAAAGCCACCUUUCCUUGGCGUGGUAAGCAUUAAAGCUAACCUGACUACUUAGUAAAAUAUAGCUAAGUAAAGUAAAUCUAGGUGUUUGUUUUUAAUGACACUAUGGUAUUAAGGAAUUUCGAAGUCUCCUACAGGUAGCUUUUGUUUUUGUUUUGUCUGAGCAGUGAAUGGAUAGGUAAACGCGUAACUUUUGAUUUUUUGAAGCUGCGGUACAAUACCUUUGUUAAAACUACCUGGAGAGAGUGGUAAGGGUUAUUUAGGUACGUUGCUACUUAGAAAGGGCAUUCGUUGACAUAUUUCUUAGGAAGUGUAACAUUAUGUACUUCUCACACGCUCCAUGUAACUCUGUUGGCCUGAUGCCAGGACUUAACGUCUAUCCUUUUGCCUUCUCAAGUCUCAUACAUCAAUUCAGCAAACAUGUAUUGAAGAUCUGGAGUUCUGUGGCCACAGUUUCUGAACUCUAACUUAUCAUAUGUGUGAUAAAGAAUUUUUCUGGUGUGUACUUCACAAGUCUUACAACUAUUUAUGUGUCUAGUAUAUUGCCUUGGUUGAAGAUGAUAAUUAAAUACAUGAAAGAACACUUGGAAAGGCCGGGAUAUGAUUACCUUUACUGGUAACUAAAAGCCAGAUGGUUUCCUAGGCUUUGGAGUUACAGAAAGGAUUAGGAGUUCUUAUCCGGCCAGGCGCAGUGGUUCACGCCUUUAAUCCCAGCACUUUGGAAGGCCAAGGCUGGCCGAUCAUCUGAGGUCGGGAGUUCGAGACCAGCCUGGCCAACUUGGUGAAACUGUCUCUACUAAGAAUACAAAAACUAGCUGGGCGUGGUGGUGUGCGCCUGUAAUCCCAGCUACUCGGGAGGCUGAGGCAGGGGAAUUGCUUGAACCCAGGAGGUAGAGGUUGCAGUAAGAGUGAGACACUGCCUCAAAAAAAAAAAAAAAAAGGUACUUAUCCUUGGGGUGACUGGAGAAUUCUUUGGGGAAGCCAACUUAUGUCCGAACAACAAUAAUGCCAUUUUAAGUAAUAGAUACAGUGUUAGGGGAGCACUGCAUGCAUUUGUGUGUGUGUGUGUAUAAUGUUUUAUUAUGGUAAAAUGCAUAAUCAAAUUUAUUAUAACCAUAAGUGUACAAUUCAGGGGCAUUGAAUGCACACAGAUUUAUUUAUUUAUUUAUUUUUGAGACAGAGUCUCGCUGUGUCACCAGGCUGGAGUGCAGUGGUGCCAUCUCAGCUCACUGCAACCUCCGCCUCCCAGGUUCAAGUGAUUCUCCUGCCCCAGCCUCCUGAGUAGCUGGGACCACAGGCGCAUGCCAACACUCCUGGCUAACUUUUGUAUUUUUAGUAGAGACGGGUUUCACCAUGUUGGCCAGGUUGGUAUCGAUCUUUUGACCUCGUGACCCUCCUGCCUCGGCCUCCCAGAGUGCUGGGAUUACAGGUGUGAGCCACCGUGCCUGGCGUACAAAUUUAUUUUUGUCAAGGCUUACUGCAGAAUGGAUUUGAGAUGGCUGACAUGCACAUAGAAGGUGAUUAAUAAUGGUGGAACUAAGAGUUAACUGUGCAAGGGCUUAGAAAUACAGUCAAUGAGCAGUCUUUGUAAAAAUUAAUUUAGAUAUAAAUGUUCACAUUUCAGCAUCAUGUAAUUUUAGAACUAGAAGUGACUUGAAAUAUCUAGCUUAACUCCUAUUGUAGAAACCCCCUUGUAGAAAUCAUUCUCUUGUAUGCGCUCUGAAGAUAAUUUUGAGCACAGGGUUCUUGAUUAAGAACACAGAAGAGUAGUCAACUAUAGUGACUACAGUAGCUGCUUUUUAGAAUGUCAGCUCAGUCCACAUCCACUUGACUGAAAAUUCCUCCUAUACACAGAGAUAUCUCUGAAGCCAUGUUGACUCUGCUUAACAUAGCUCUUCCAGUAAACUAUGAUUAGAUCACUGAUAGACCAUAUCCAGGUUUAGCCAAUCAGAUUUUCCCUCUAAGACUUUGGAAACAGAUCAUUGGAAUGCUGAUCAAUUGGCAGUCUAGAGUGGCAAGGUGUUGUUCUAUGGAUUGGAUAGCCAUUUUCUGCCAUGUGCACAACAAUGCAGAAAAACUUCUCUUUGGAACGAGAAAAGAAUUUAAUUCUUCCUGUCACUGGGAAUAUAAUGGUUACCAAAGCAUACCUGGUCGCUUUUGUCAUGGAACUUGUAGUUUGGUAAAACAGGUAUAAUGAUAAGCAGUAAUGGAAAUACCACUGAAUAAAUUUUUCACUUUAAACAAGUUACUCUGGCUGUAAUGAGGAAAACAGUUUUGAAAUGGCCAAGAGUCGAUUUGGGGAGAAAAAUUAGGGGACCAUUUUAGUUUUCCAGGCAAAAAAAGGGUGGGUAGUACUUUAAAGUCGGGUCAUGGCAGUAGAAAUGGAGAGAAGCCAAUAGAUUUAAUAGAUAGGAGAAUCUAGUCAUGUUCAAAAAGAAGCAGAGUUUGAUCAUACUCAGGUUUUUCUGAUUCUCAGCUGUUAUCCCAAAUAAGAUUAUUUGGACAUUUCUUCAAAAUAUAAACUGUUCUUUUGAAAGGGGUACCAGAAAAUACCAUUUUUUCUAACUUGGGACCUAAUCAACUGAAUGAAUGCUAACUGCUUGAGUUGUAUGUAUUUGAAGUAAUGAAAAGAAAGUGUGCUUUAAUCACUAUUGAGAAGUUGAACUUUUUAUUCUUACCCUCAGUGUUAUAUAUUGAAUAUUGUCCUCUACAAAUUCAUAUAUUGAAAUCCUAACCUCCAAUGUGAUAAUAUUAGGAGGUGGGGGCCUUUGGGAAGUAAUUAGGUCAUGAGGGUGAAGACCCCAUGGAUGAGAUUAGUGCCCUUAUAAAAGACUCUCCAGAGAGCUCUCUUGCUCUCUUUCUGCCAUGUGCAGAUGCAAUGAGAAGUCAGCAGUCUACAACCUGGAAGAGGGCCCUCACCAGAACCUGACCAUGCUGCACCCUGAUCUCAGACUUCUAGAUCCGGAACUGUCUGAAAUAAAUUUGUUUUACUCGUAAGCCAUUCUGUAUGGUUUGUUACAGUAGCCCAAACAAAGACACUAAGGAUCUCUUUAUACUCUUUGAAAAUUACUGAAGACCCUAAAGAGUUUUUAUGUGGGCUAUAUAUUGUGAUGUUCACUGUAUUUGAAGUUAAAACUGAAGAAUUUAAAAAACCGGAAUAUACCAGCUCACAUUUCAUUAGCCAUCAGAGUGAUGGCCUCAUUCUAUGUCACACAACCUCUGAAAAAUUCCACCCUACCCCUAUGGGAGAAUACAAGUGAAAAAGGCAAGUGAUAUCUUAAUUUUUAUUUAUUUUUUUUGAGACAGAGUCUCGCUCUGUCGCCCAGGCUGGAGUGCAGUGGUGCAAUCUCGGCUCACUGCAACCUCCACCUCCCGGGUUCAAGUGAUUCUCCUGCUUCAGCCUCCCGAGUAGCUUGCUGUGUGGCAACACAGCAAGACCUUCUCUCAAAAAAUAAAAUUUAAAAAAGAUUUUGAUGUUUAUCAUAGCAGUAAUGGAAAUAAAUUUUUCAUUUUAAACAAGUCACUCUGGCUGUAAUGAGGAAAACAGUUUUCCUUGGAUGCCUGUGCCACCGCGUCCAGCUAGUUUUUGUAUUUUUAGUAGAGACGGGGUUUCACCAUGUUGGCCAGGCUGGUCUUGAACUGACCUCAGAUGAUCUGCCUACCUCAGGUGUUAUGCCUGCCUCAGCCUUCCAAAGUGCUGGGAUUACAGGCGUGAGCCUCCGCCCCCGACUGUCGACAUCUAAAUAUUAUUAUGAAAAUAGGUUUAACCUUAGAGACCUUCUGAAAAGGUUUCUUAGGGGUCCUCAGACCACACCUUGAGAGCUGCUGCUCUAAUCUAUAAGGCUGCCUCUGAUGAUUCUGGAAUAGUAAUAUUUUUCUACUUGUAAAUAUGGGAACGUGUUCUCUGUGCUUCCAGAGUUUAAGAUCUGUGGUGCCAAAAUACAAGCUUCUGAAGAUCUGUGGGCUGAAGUACAAGCUUCUUGGCCUUUCAAGUGAAAUGUUGGUGCUAUGUGUGGGAAAAUUUGGCUGGCCAUGUCAAAAUGGAAAAGGAAUAUAAGUAUGAAAAAAUUUACAUAAUAAACAUGACCAUUUUACUACUAGUGCUUCCUUCAUCAGAAACAUCUUCUGCAACUUAAAAUAGCAAUAAAAGUCAAUAGAUACAAAAAUAUUGACCAUACCAAACAUUUUAAAGGGUUUGGUUGGGGGAGAUGGACAACAGGGAGCUUGCUUUCCCUACCAUCAUUUCUUCAGCAUCCAGCUAUCAUUCAAUCAUGUGUAUGUACUAUCUGAAUUAGAGUAAAGCUAAACUUUUCUAUCAAAGAGGACCCAAAACACUAUGGCUUAAAGAACACUGAAAUUUGCUUAUUUCUCACACACAAAGACUGUACCAGGAACCCAGGUUUUUUCUAUCUUGUUGCUGUGCACUUUCUAACUUAUCAUUCACCAUGGCAUUAUUCUCAGCUGCAUGGUUGAAGAUGGGUCAAGGAACUCCAUGAUCUACCUCAUGCGAAAGAAAAAGGAGCAUGGAGGAUCAUAUAUCCAAUGUCUUGAGACCCAGGCUCAAAAUUACACAUUUCUGUUCAUAUUCCAUUCUGGGAAUGUAGUCACAUGGCCACACCUAGCUUCAAAUGAGGCUGAGAAAUGUCAUCUCUAACUGUGUAGUUAUGGACCUUGCUACAACUCUUCCUACAGAACAGGGACAGGGUGGAUUUUGAUGGACAAUUCACAAUAUCCACUUCAUAGGUAUUUUAGUCAGUGAUUUUUGCCGUUGGUAAAGCAUUCUACUUCUCAGGCUUUAAAAUGUGAGCUUCAGAGCAAAUGUAUUAUAUAUAUCAGUUAUAAAAAAAAAAGACCAUAAAUUCUUAGAAAACUCCCUCCUAGCUUGAACCUUCUCAGAACCCAGCCACUGUUCUGUAAGAAGUCAAAGCUUCAUGGAGAAGCCAUAUAUAUAGGUGUUGUGGUUGAUAGUCCUAGCUGAACCUAGCCUUUAAAUCAUCCCAGCCCAGUCACCAGACAGGAGGGUAAAGACCUAUUUCCCUCUUGGUAAGAGAUCUUCCAUUCUCAGCCCUUCCAGUCCCCACCAGUUCAAGUUGCUUCCAGCUGUUGGAAGCAUCCUAUUUGAGGCCCUAGACAUCAUGGAAAGAGACAAUCCCCACUAUGUCCUGUACAAACUCCCAAACCAUAGAAUUUGUGAGCAUAAUGAAAUGGUUGGUUGGUUGGUUUGGUUGGGGGAAGGGGGGACAGAAUAAUAGAUAUACAUGGCAAUAUUUAACUAGAAUAUACAUUCCAAGUCAGAUAUUUAAAUAGGCCCUCUUCUCAAACUUUCCAUUGAUAGAAUUUUUUGAAAUAUUUAAACUAUCUAAAGUGAGUGAUUAAAAACAUUUUAGCUUGGCCAGGAGGGGUGACUCACACCUGUAAUACCAGCACUUUAGGAUGGCGAAGCAGGAAGAUCACCUGAAGUCAGGAGUUUGAGACCAGCCUGGCCAACAUGGUGAAACCCUGUCUCUACUAAAAAUACAAAAAAAAAAAAAAAAAAAAAAAAAAAAAUUAGCCGGCAUGGUGGCACGCACCUGUAGUCCCAGCUACUCAGGCGGCUGAGCCAGGAGAAUCACUUGAACCUGGGAGGCAGAGGUUGCAGGGAGCCGAGAUCACACCACUGCACUCCAGCCUGGAAGACAGACUGAGAAUCAUCUAAAAAACAAAAACAAAAACUCAGUUUAGCUUUUACAAUUCAUUCACUCAUUUGACAAAAUCUAUGGAGUAUCUAAAAUUUACUGGGGUUAUACCUGCAUACACACAUUAGGAUCCAAUUAUAUUCACUCCUGUGUUUCCCAUGUAGAUUUUGAGCUUCUUGAGUGAAAACAAUAUAUAUUACUUCUGUAAUCUCCACAGCAUCCAGUAAUAUAUAAAGUUUAAUAUGAGUAGAAAGUGCUUGAUAAGAACUUGUUUGAUGAUUUUUAAAAUGUAUAAUAGAAAUGUAUAUAUGUAACCAUUCUUUAUGUGCAUACAUACCACUUAUUCAAGUGUGGCUGAAAAUAUGUGUAUUUUCUAAUUAAAAAUAAGAACUGCUAGUUAUAGGUACUUAUAAAAUAUAAAAGCGAUUUUAAAAUAUGUCACUUUAUAAAGAUUCUUAUGAAGGGUUUCCUAUUAAAGAUGCUAUUUUGGAAGAGUAUUACAGUCAUUUGCAUAUUUAUUUUUGUAUGCUGGUAAUUCACAUGAUCUGUGUAUUGCUUUUACAGUUUAACUGUAAGCCUCUUGCCAAAUGAAAUUUUAUUUUUAAAGUACCUUAUCACCACACACACAUAUGCAAGCAGUCUGAAUUGUAUAAAAUAUAAGAUCCACAUUUCAAUUGCUUUACUUUGUUGCCUAUCACAACUAGAGCAUCCUAAAAUUCUCCUUUAUUAGAGCAAAAUGUGGCUGAUUCAAAUAUCAUACUUCAGCUGCCUUCACCAUUUGAAUGAAAUAAGCUCCCAGCAAGAUGUAUUCAAGAAACUAUGGUUCAAACUGUGUUAUUCUGCUAUAAAGCAAUCUGCUAAACAUUUCUGAAGCAAUUUAGCUGUGACUUAGUUGCAAACAAUGUGGACACUUAAUCUGUGACUUGAAAUUGGGGCUACAGAGAAGUAUUCAAGACUUUUCUCAUGAGUUCACUUGCUUCAGAGAAAGAUACUUCCUAUUUUCUUAUGAGCUAAGAAUGGAAAGCUAAGAACUAUCAACUAUAUUAAAACAAUGAAAAUGAUCAACCUUAUAAGUUGAGUUUGUAUUAAAUCUGAAGUAUUGUAGAUAUAAUGAUACUAUAUCACCUAUUGUAGGUAUAAAUAUAUUAUAAGGGCUUUUACCCAAAAGAAUAGGACUUGCUUUUAGAAUUAUUCUGGGUUAUAUUUGUCUUACCAUAAAUUCUUCAUAAAUAUAUCUUACCUAUAUUAUUAACAUCAUUUUUUCACUGUUUUCUCAGCUGAUAGACUCUGUAUUUGGAGUAAUUAUUUGCCUAAAAAAUGCAUGCCAUCUUGACGAGGUCAACAUUCCAAAAAUAUUUUUUGUACUGAGUUAAUAAAAUAUGUUACAUUAAUCAACUGUACUAUAAUCUUUGAUACUGAUCAAACCAUGUUUAAAUUUGAAAUUCACUAUUUAUAAUAUAUAUAUCAAUAUAUGAAUAAAGAUAAAGGAAAAUGGACACAGAGGUUUAUCAAAAUAAGGGAAAGUAAAUCCUUAUUCUUAUUUCAAGUCAGUUAUUUUUAAAGAUAUUAUUUAGGCUAUGACUAAUAUGUCAAAACUCACCAUGUAGAAAUCAUGUGGGUAUAACUGUACAAUGUUAAAAUUCACUUAUGUUUGUUUAAAAUAACUGUUGAUUAGCCAGAUUUUCUUAUAUUUCAACCUCUUGGUUUGGCAUUAUGUGAGUAGUAUAGUAAUAGAAUAAUAAUAAAGCAAAUAAUUUUUUGUAGCCUGUUAU
Molecule: long non-coding RNA, 7874 nt
Filed under: Homo sapiens (human)
Lineage: Eukaryota; Metazoa; Chordata; Mammalia; Primates; Hominidae
Description: HSALNT0293658
Source: RNAcentral